Molecule: non-coding RNA, 73 nt
Organism: Trichinella pseudospiralis
Lineage: Eukaryota; Metazoa; Nematoda; Enoplea; Trichinellida; Trichinellidae
Source: Rfam
GCUCUCGUAGUGUAGUGGUUAUCACGUCUGCUUCACACGCAGAAGGUCCCUGGUUCGAACCCAGGUGAGAGCA